UAAUGUGGAGAGGCCUGGGGCCUUUCCCUGAGGACUGGAUGGCUGGAGUUUGGGAGCCUGAGUUGACAGAGGAGGCUAAGCCCGGGCAGCUACUUUGUUCCAGAAAUCUAAGGUCCCUGGAGGGAGGCUCAGCUUUGGGAGGGGGAAGGGAGCUAACAUUGCAGAGCACCAACUGUGAGCCAGGUGCAAUGGCAGAGCCUUUCCAUACCUGUACUCACAACUAGCGGGUGAGGAGUCAGGGCAAAUAUGUGUCUCAUAGCUCCCCAUAUCUCGGCAGUCGACCACCUCCUCCUUUGAUUCUCUGAUGUCACUGCCAGUUCUCCUCCUAUUGCACUGACUUGUCUUUCUCUGUGUCCUUUGCAAACUCAUUCUCAACUCCUUAGAUUCAGUCAAGUCCCCCAGUUACACACUUCCAUGGUACUAUAUAUCGUUCCUUCAGAGCACUUAACACAGUUAUUUCCUAUGUAUUUGUCCAGUCAUUUGAAUAAUGAUCCUAGUUUCAUUGGAUGGAAAGUUCCACAAGGUCAGUGACCAUUUCUAUCUGUGUUCACCAAUGUGUUCCCAGUGCCCAGAAACAAUGCCUAGCAUAAAGCAGCUGUUUUGUAAAUACUUGUUCAAUGAAUGAAUAAAUGACAAAAGAACAUC
Molecule: long non-coding RNA, 645 nt
Filed under: Pongo abelii (Sumatran orangutan)
Lineage: Eukaryota; Metazoa; Chordata; Mammalia; Primates; Hominidae
Description: lincRNA
Source: RNAcentral